Molecule: ribosomal RNA, 450 nt
Filed under: uncultured bacterium
Lineage: Bacteria
Description: partial 16S ribosomal RNA
Rfam family: Bacterial small subunit ribosomal RNA
Source: RNAcentral
AACGAACGCUGGCGGCAGGCUUAACACAUGCAAGUCGAACGCAUCCUUCGGGGUGAGUGGCAGACGGGUGAGUAACGCGUGGGAACGUGCCCCUCAGUUCGGGAUAACCCAGGGAAACUUGGGCUAAUACCGGAUACGUGCGAGAGCAGAAAGAUUUCAUCGCUGAAGGAUCGGCCCGCGUCUGAUUAGCUAGUUGGUGGGGUAAUGGCCCACCAAGGCGACGAUCAGUAGCUGGUCUGAGAGGAUGAUCAGCCACAUUGGGACUGAGACACGGCCCAAACUCCUACGGGAGGCAGCAGUGGGGAAUAUUGGACAAUGGGCGCAAGCCUGAUCCAGCCAUGCCGCGUGAGUGAUGAAGGCCUUAGGGUUGUAAAGCUCUUUCGUCCGGGACGAUAAUGACGGUACCGGAAGAAGAAGCCCCGGCUAACUUCGUGCCAGCCGCCGCAGUAA